RNAcentral lists this long non-coding RNA (6035 nucleotides) under Oncorhynchus kisutch (coho salmon). RNAcentral describes it as "lncRNA (ENSOKIG00005004050.1)". The record is from RNAcentral. Lineage: Eukaryota; Metazoa; Chordata; Actinopteri; Salmoniformes; Salmonidae.
UUGCAGUUGAGGCUAGGGUUAUGGUUGUAGUUGAGACUAGGGUUAGGGUUAUGGUUGUAGUUGAGGCUAGGGUUAUGGUUGUAUUUGAGACUAGGGUUAGAGUUAUGUUUAUAGUUGAGACUAGGGUUGGGGUUAUGGUUGUAGUUGAGACUAGGGUUAUGGUUGUAGUUGAGGCGAGGCGAGGGUUGGGUUUAUGGUUGUAGUUGAGGUUAGAGUUAUUGUUGUAUUUGAGACUAGGGUUAGAGUUAUGGUUGUAGUUGAGACUAGGGUUGGGGUUAUGGUUGUACUUGAGACUAGGGUUAGGGUUAUGGUUGUAGUUGAGACUAGGGUUGGGGUUAUGCUUGUAGUUGAGACUAGGGUUGGGGUUAUGGUUGUAGUUGAGACUAGGGUUAUGGUUAUGAGUGUAGUUGAGGCUAGGGUUGGGGUUAUAGUUAUGAUUGUAGUUGAGGCUAGGGUUGGGGAUAUGGUUGUAGUUGAGGCGAGGGUUGGGGUUGUGGUUGUAUUGAGACUAGGGUUAGGGUUAUGGUUGUAGUUGAGGCUAGGGUUAGGGUUGUAGUUGUAGUUGAGACUAGAGUUAGGGUCAUGGUUGUAGUUGAGACUAGGGUUAGGGUUAUGGUUGUAGUUGUAGGUGAGACUAGGGUUAGGGUUAUAGUUGAGACUAGGGUUAGGGUUAUGGUUGUAGUUGUAGUUGAGACUAGGGUUGGGGUUGUGGUUGUAGUUGGAGUUAUGGUUGUAGUUGAGGCUAGGGUUAUGGUUGUAGUUGUAGUUGAGACUAUGGUUAUGAUUGUAGUUGAGGCUAGGGUUGGGGUUAUGGUUGUAGUUGAGGCUAGGUUUGGGGUUAUGGUUGUAGUUGAGGCUAGGUUUGUGGUUAUGGUUGUAGUUGUAGUUGAGACUAGGGUUAGGGUUAUGGUUAUAGUUGAGACUAGGGUUGGGGUUAUGGUUGUAGUUGAGACUAGGGUUAGGGUUAUGGUUGUAGUUGUAGUUGAGACUAGGGUUAGGGUUAGGGUUAUGGUUGCAGUUGAGGCUAGGGUUAUGGUUGUAGUUGAGACUAGGGUUAGGGUUAUGGUUGUCGUUGAGGCUAGGGUUAUGGUUGUAUUUGAGACUAGGGUUAGAGUUAUGGUUGUAGUUGAGACUAGGGUUGGGUUUAUGGUUGUAGUUGAGGCUAGGGUUGGGGUUAUGGUUGUAGUUGAGGCGAAGGUUAGAGUUAUGGUUGUAGUUGAGACUAGGGUUGGGGUUAUGGUUGUAGUUGAGGCGAAGGUUAGGGUUAUGGUUGUAGUUGUAGUUGAGACUAGGGUUAUGGUUAUGAUUGUAGUUGAGGCUAGAGUUGGGGAUAUGGUUGUAGUUGAGGCGAGGGUUGUGGUUGUGGUUGAGACUAGGGUUAGGGUUAUGGCUGUAUUUGAGGCUAGGGUUAGGGUUGUAGUUCAGACUAGGGUUAGGGUCAUGGUUGUAGUUGAGACUAGGGUUAGGGUCAUGGUUGUAGUUGAGACUAGGGUUAGGAUUAUGGUUGUAGUUGAGGCUAGGGUUAGGGUUGUAGUUGUAGUUGAGACUAUGGUUAGGGUCAUGGUUGUAGUUGAGACUAGGGUUAGGGUUAUGGUUGUAGUUGUAGUUGAGACUAUGGUUAGGGUCAUGGUUGUAGUUGAGACUAGGGUUAGGGUUAUGGUUGUAAUUGUAGUUGAGACUAGGGUUGGGGUUAUGGUUGUAGUUGGGGUUAUGGUUGUAGUUGAGGCUAGGGUUAUGGUUGUAGUUGUAGUUGAGGCUAGGGUUAUGGUGUAGUUGUAGUUGAGACUAGGGUUAUGGUUAUGAUUGUAGUUGAGGCUAGGGUUGGGGUUAUGGUUGUAGUUGAGGCUAGGGUUGGGGUUAUGGUUGUAGUUGAGGCUAGGUUUGGGGUUAUGGUUGUAGUUGAGGCUAGGGUUGGGGUUAUGGUUGUAGUUGUAGUUGAGACUAGGGUUGGGGUUAUGGUUGUAGUUGGGGUUAUGGUUGUAGUUGAGGCUAGGGUUAUGGUUGUAGUUGUACUUGAGGCGAGGGUUGGGGUUGUGGUUGUAUUGAGACUAGGGUUAGGGUUAUGGUUGUAGUUGAGGCUAGGGUUAGGGUUGUAGUUGUAGUUGAGACUAGGGUUAGGGUCAUGGUUGUAGUUGAGACUAGGGUUAGGGUUAUGGUUGUAGUUGUAGGUGAGACUAGGGUUAGGGUUAUGGUUGUAGUUGAGACUAGGGUUAGGGUUAUGGUUGUAGUUGUAGUUGAGACUAGGGUUGGAGUUGUGGUUGUAGUUGGGGUUAUGGUUGUAGUUGAGGCUAGGGUUAUGGUUGUAGUUGUAGUUGAGACUAGGGUUAUGGUUGUAGUUGUAGUUGAGACUAGGGUUGGGGUUAUGGUUGUAGUUGUAGUUGAGAAUAGGGUUAGGGUCAUGGUUGUAGUUGAGACUAGGGUUAGGGUUAUGGUUAUGAUUGUAGUUGAGGCUAGAGUUGGGGAUAUGGUUGUAGUUGAGGCGAGGGUUGUGGUUGUAGUUGAGACUAGGGUUAGGGUUAUGGCUGUAUUUGAGGCUAGGGUUAGGGUUGUAGUUGAGACUAGGGUUAGGGUCAUGGUUGUAGUUGAGACUAGGGUUAGGGUCAUGGUUGUAGUUGAGACUAGGGUUAGGAUUAUGGUUGUAGUUGAGGCUAGGGUUAGGGUUGUAGUUGUAGUUGAGACUAUGGUUAGGGUCAUGGUUGUAAUUGUAGUUGAGACUAGGGUUGGGGUUAUGGUUGUAGUUGGGGUUAUGGUUGUAGUUGAGGCUAGGGUUAUGGUUGUAGUUGUAGUUGAGGCUAGGGUUAUGGUGUAGUUGUAGUUGAGACUAGGGUUAUGGUUAUGAUUGUAGUUGAGGCUAGGGUUGGAGUUAUGGUUGUAGUUGAGGCUAGGGUUGGGGUUAUGGUUGUAGUUGAGGCUAGGUUUGGGGUUAUGGUUGUAGUUGAGGCUAGGGUUGGGGUUAUGGUUGUAGUUGUAGUUGAGACUAGGGUUGGGGUUAUGGUUGUAGUUGGGGUUAUGGUUGUAGUUGAGGCUAGGGUUAUGGUUGUAGUUGUAGUUGAGGCGAGGGUUGGGGUUGUGGUUGUAUUGAGACUAGGGUUAGGGUUAUGGUUGUAGUUGAGACUAGGGUUAGGGUUAUGGUUGUAGUUGUAGGUGAGACUAGGGUUGGGGUUGUGGUUGUAGUUGGGGUUAUGGUUGUAGUUGAGGCUAGGGUUAUGGUUGUAGUUGUUGUUGAGACUAGGGUUAUGGUUAUGAUUGUAGUUGAGGCUAGGGUUGGGGUUAUGGUUGUAGUUGAGGCUAGGCUUGGGGUUAUGGUUGUAGUUGAGGCUAGGGUUGGGGUUAUGGUUGUAGUUGUAGUUGAGGCUAGGGUUGGGGUUAUGGUUGUAGUUGUAGUUGAGACUAGGGUUAGGGUUAUGGUUAUAGUUGAGACUAGGGUUGGGGUUAUGGUUGUAGUUGAGACUAGGGUUAGGGUUAUGGUUGUAGUUGUAGUUGAGACUAGGGUUAGGGUUAGGGUUAUGGUUGCAGUUGAGGCUAGGGUUAUGGUUGUAGUUGAGACUAGGGUUAGGGUUAUGGUUGUCAUUGAGGCUAGGGUUAUGGUUGUAUUUGAGACUAGGGUUAGAGUUAUGGUUGUAGUUGAGACUAGGGUUGGGUUUAUGGUCGUAGUUGAGGCUAGGGUUGGGGUUAUGGUUGUAGUUGAGGCGAAGGUUAGAGUUAUGGUUGUAGUUGAGACUAGGGUUGGGGUUAUGGUUGUAGUUAAGGCGAAGGUUAGGGUUAUGGUUGUAGUUGUAGUUGAGACUAGGGUUAUGGUUAUGAUUGUAGUUGAGGCUAGGCUUGGGGUUAUGGUUGUAGUUGAGGCGAGGCGAGGCGAGGGUUGGGGUUAUGGUUGUAGUUGAGACUAGGGUUAGGGUUAUGGUUGUAGUUGAGGCUAGGGUUAUGGUUGUAGUUGUAGUUGAGACUAGGGUUAGAGUUAUGGUUGCAGUUGAGGCUAGGGUUGGGGUUGGGGUUAUGGUUGUAGUUGUAGUUGAGACUAGGGUUGGGGUUAUGGUUGUAGUUGCAGUUGAGAAUAGGGUUAGGGUCAUGGUUGUAGUUGAGACUAGGGUUAGGGUUAUGGUUAUGAUUGUAGUUGAGGCUAGGGUUGGGGUUAUGGUUGUAGUUGAGGCGAGGCGAGGGUUGGGGUUAUGGUUGUAGUUGAGGCUAGAGUUGGGGAUAUGGUUGUAGUUGAGGCGAGGGUUGUGGUUGUGGUUGAGACUAGGGUUAGGGUUAUGGCUGUAUUUGAGGCUAGGGUUAGGGUUGUAGUUGUAGUUGAGACUAUGGUUAGGGUCAUGGUUGUAGUUGAGACUAGGGUUAGGGUUAUGGUUGUAAUUGUAGUUGAGACUAGGGUUAGGGUUAUGGUUGUAGUUGUAGUUGAGACUAGGGUUGGGGUUAUGGUUGUAGUUGGGGUUAUGGUUGUAGUUGAGGCUAGGGUUAUGGUUGUAGUUGUAGUUGAGGCUAGGGUUAUGGUGUAGUUGUAGUUGAGACUAGGGUUAUGGUUAUGAUUGUAGUUGAGGCUAGGGUUGGGGUUAUGGUUGUAGUUGAGGCUAGGGUUGGGGUUAUGGUUGUAGUUGAGGCUAGGUUUGGGGUUAUGGUUGUAGUUGAGGCUAGGGUUGGGGUUAUGGUUGUAGUUGUAGUUGAGACUAGGGUUGGGGUUAUGGUUGUAGUUGGGGUUAUGGUUGUAGUUGAGGCUAGGGUUAUGGUUGUAGUUGUAGUUGAGACUAGGGUUAUGGUUAUGACUGUAGUUGAGGCUAGUGUUGGGGUUUUAGUUGUAGUUGAGGCUAGGGUUGGGGUUAUGGUUGUAGUUGAGACUAGGGUUAUGGUUAUGAUUGUAGUUGAGGCUAGGGUUGGGGUUAUGGUUGUAGUUGAGGCGAGGGUUGGUGUUAUGGUUGUAGUUGAGGCUAGGGUUAUGGUUGUAGUUGAGGCUAGGGUUGGGGUUAUGGUUGUAGUUGAGGCUAGGGUUAGGGUUAUGGUUGUAGUUGAGGCUAUGGUUAGAGUUAUGGUUGCAGUUGAGGCUAGGGUUGGGGUUAUGGUUGUGGUUGCAGUUGAGGCUAGGGUUGUGGUUAUGGUUGUAGUUGUAGUUGAGACUAGGGUUAUGGUUAUGGUUGUAGUUGAGACUAGGGUUGGGGUUAUGGUUGUAGUUGAGACCAGGGUUAUGGUUAUGGUUGUAGUUGAGACUAGGGUUGGGGUUAUGGUUGUAGUUGAGACUAGGGUUGGGGUUAUGGUUGUAGUUGAGACUAGGGUUGGGGUUAACGUUGUAGUUGAGACCAGGGUUAUGGUUAUGGUUGUAGUUGAGACUAGCGUUAUGGUUAUGGUUGUAGUUGAGGCUAGGGUUGGGGUUAUGGUUAUGAUUGUAGUUGAGGCUAGGGUUGGGGAUAUGGUUGUAGUUGAGGCGAGGGUUGGGGUUGUGGUUGUAAUUGAGACUAGGGUUAGGGUCAUGGUUGUAGUUGAGACUAGGGUUAGGGUUAUGGUUGUAGUUGAGGCUAGAGUUAGGGUUGUAGUUGUAGUUGAGACUAGGGUUAGGGUCAUGGUUGUAGUUGAGACUAGGGUUAGGGUUAUGGUUGUAGUUGUAGUUGAGACUAGGGUUGGGGUUAUGGUUGUAGUUGGGGUUAUGGUUGUAGUUGAGGCUAGGGUUAUGCUUGUAGUUGUAGUUGAGACUAGGGUUAUGGUUAUGAUUGUAGUUGAGGCUAGGGUUGGGGUUAUGGUUGUAGUUUAGGCUAGGGUUGGGGUUAUGGUUGUAGUUGAGGCUAGGGUUGGGGUUAUGGUUGUAGUUGUAGUUGAGACUAGGGUUAGGGUUAUGGUUAUAGUUGAGACUAGGGUUGGGGUUAUGGUUGUAGUUGAGACUAGGGUUAGGGUUAUGGUUGUAGUUGUAGUUGAGACUAGGGUUUGAGUUAUGGUUGUAGUUGAGACUAGGGUAAUGUUGAACCAGGAUGGGGACAUGAAGCUAGGGUUAGAGCCCUGUAAAAGGAGGGAAAACACUGUAAUGAGAAAGGCUUGUCCCUAAACCUAACCUU